RNAcentral lists this ribosomal RNA (497 nucleotides) under uncultured bacterium. RNAcentral describes it as "partial 16S ribosomal RNA". It matches the Rfam family "Bacterial small subunit ribosomal RNA", at positions 28 to 507 of the family's 1533-position model. The record is from RNAcentral.
GAUGAACGCUGGCGGCGUGCCUAAUACAUGCAAGUCGAGCGAACGGACGAGAAGCUUGCUUCUCUGAUGUUAGCGGCGGACGGGUGAGUAACACGUGGAUAACCUACCUAUAAGACUGGGAUAACUUCGGGAAACCGGAGCUAAUACCGGAUAAUAUUUUGAGCCGCAUGGUUCAAAAGUAAAAGACGGUCUUGCUGUCACUUAUAGAUGGAUCCGCGCUGCAUUAGCUAGUUGGUAAGGUAACGGCUUACCAAGGCAACGAUGCAUAGCCGACCUGAGAGGGUGAUCGGCCACACUGGAACUGAGACACGGUCCAGACUCCUACGGGAGGCAGCAGUAGGGAAUCUUCCGCAAUGGGCGAAAGCCUGACGGAGCAACGCCGCGUGAGUGAUGAAGGUCUUCGGAUCGUAAAACUCUGUUAUUAGGGAAGAACAUAUGUGUAAGUAACUGUGCACAUCUUGACGGUACCUAAUCAGAAAGCCACGGCUAACUACGUG